RNAcentral lists this long non-coding RNA (2056 nucleotides) under Vigna radiata. RNAcentral describes it as "long non-coding RNA (VRAD_LNC015574)". Lineage: Eukaryota; Viridiplantae; Streptophyta; Magnoliopsida; Fabales; Fabaceae. The record is from RNAcentral.
UUUACGUGUAAUAAAUCCAUAAUAUUAAGAAGGAUUAAAUAUUUUGUAGUUCUUAAAUAUAAAAUCAGAAUUUGUCUAUAUUCAAAAUUUUAAUAUAAUUUUGCCUUUUGUCACACCCCAUUUAAAACCUUACUUUAGUGGAGUACACUUGUCAACCGUCCGGUCUUCCCUGGUUAGUGGGAGACCAACUCUGCCAAGCUUUUAAUUCCCUUCCUUCGUGAUCCGUGUAGCAGCAGCAGAGCAGUGAAACCCAGAAAGUGGAAGUCAGGUGGCAGACUGGGAGUGGACCGAACGUUCCGAAUGGAGGCAGUACUUAAGGUAAAAUGAGAAACCCUGACGCCACUUUUCCCAUGCAAUCUUCUUCUUCCUCAAACUCAACUUUCUGAAAUCUCAAACUCUCCUCCUUCUCUCUAAACCUCCCAACCUUCUCUCUAAAAUUCUAACCAAUCUACUGUUCCGAUCACCAUUCAGAUCACACCUGAAGACUUCUGGUGGUCUCCUCUUUCACUUGAACCGUCCGGUUUUGGGUUUCAGUUGACUUUGGAAACCUUAGAAGAAAUAGUUGCUGUCAACCUAACUUAGACGUACUAGCUGGAUUAGAGGUAAGGGAAGCUUAUAAAGUUUAAUUAUAAUUUCUCUGUAUGGUUUGAAUGUAUGCCUGAUUUAAUGUAUGUUUUCUAAAGUAUGCUGCUUAAUUUCUUAUGAUUGAAAUAUGGUAUGUUGUUGUACGAGUUGUAUGAUAAGUAUGAACUAUGAAUUCUGCACUGAUAUGAGUAUGUAUGAAACUUAGAGAAAAUAUGAAUCUGAAAUCGAAGGUCAUUAGGACCGUUCGGUCCUCCCUUUUCCGUUCGGUCUGUUUGUACUGAUCGGCCUAGUGUGAUUACUAAAUUUAGUUGGUUUCCUUUAAUUGUUUUAUUGAUAGCUACGUAAGAAUGCUGGUCAUAAACCAAACGUUCGACCUUCCAAGUGUUCGGCCUUAGGUUGACACUUAGAUUAUAAAACUUGCAAAUAUGAUAUUCUUCCUUUUGAAACCGUCCGGUCACUCAAUGACUGAACGGUCUAGUGAGCCUUUAUUUAUUUAAAACGUCUUGUUUACUUGACUAAAGCCCUUUUACUCUUUUAAAGAGUUUCUUCUUUCUUAAUUCGUCCGGUCUGAUAAGUGUUCGGUCAUAGACCAACCUUCAACCAUGAUUAGUGCUUAUUUUGUAACACUCUUAGCCAAACCGUUCGAAUGACUAUCACUUAUAGUCAAUCCUUUGAGUUAUGGUCUUAUUCCUUGCUGGACCAUCCGACCAACCAUUUGACAUUCUUCUGUUAUUCAGUCUCAUCUUUGAUGUGACCGUCCGACUACUUACUUGAAUUCUUGAUACUCAGUUUCUCAUUUCGAUUAAACCGUUCGGUCACUAUUAAUUAUAAUUCAGUCUGGGGUAUUUGGUACUUUUCUCAACACCCUAACAGCUUGGAAGUAAUAAUGAACCUUGAUUGAAUUUGGCUAAGUAAGGUAAUUCCACUGGAGGAAUGUCUCAUGAAUUGGUGAUGAAUGGUAAAGUAUGAACGUGGGAAUGACUCAGGUGUCGUCCUGAUCCUGAUAUUCCGUGAGGGCACUUUCUCAGGUAGAGAAAGGUCACUCAUGUGUGGGAAUGGCAGGAGGUCCGCGGUUAUGUGAAUAGAUAACCGUUUAAGGACUAACCUCGGGUGGCAGCUGAUAAGGUAAAGCAGUUACUACACCACACCGGGUGCUAGGGACGACCGAGCUACAUGUUCAUACCGUCCGGACAGUGUCUUAGUGGUCGGUCAUGAUUAAAGGAAUGUAGUAUGUAUGUAUAGAAAUUGUAUGCUUGCUUGCUUGAUGGAUUUGUAUUGUAUGUUUACUUGUAUGAGGUAAUGAUAAAUUAAAUUUACAUAAGCUUACCCUUAUCUGUUGUGUCUUUGUCCAUGUUGCCGUUCGGUAUCCGACUGUUCGGUUAUUUCCUUGAUUGCAAAUGAUCAUCCUUUUUGGGAUGUGAGCAGAGGAUACCCUGGAAGCUACCCUGGAAGACACUCUAGAGGAUGCCGG